GGUGUUGAGGGUACCUGGAUAAGAAGCGCCGGCUAACUACGUGCCAGCAGCCGCGGUAAUACGUAGGGCGCAAGCGUUGUCCGGAAUUAUUGGGCGUAAAGAGCUCGUAGGCGGCUGGUCGCGUCUGUCGUGAAAACUUCCGGCUCAACCGGGGGCUUGCGGUGGGUACGGGCCGGCUAGAGUGCGGUAGGGGUAACUGGAACUCCUGGUGUAGCGGUGGAAUGCGCAGAUAUCAGGAAGAACACCGAUGGCGAAGGCAGGUUACUGGGCCGU
Molecule: ribosomal RNA, 273 nt
Filed under: Vibrio cholerae
Lineage: Bacteria; Pseudomonadati; Pseudomonadota; Gammaproteobacteria; Vibrionales; Vibrionaceae
Description: partial 16S ribosomal RNA
Rfam family: Bacterial small subunit ribosomal RNA
Source: RNAcentral